UUGCGAAUCUCCAAAUUUCAGGUUUAGUACAUAUCUGCAUAAUUAUAGUUGGCUAACAGCACAAGGACAAUUACAAAGUCGUCUCUGAAACCUUUGGCUCUGUAGCACUAUGUAUGGAACAACGACGAGUUGGAGAUUAUUACACGGGUGAAAUGUUUUGACACCAGACAUUAGACAGCAGUGUUUGAGGCAAUGUGCUGCAUUAAGAUAAGCUUGGAUUUCGUCUCGUUUGAACAAAUGCCGGCCACAUUUUCAUAUUUGACUAGAAAAAAUUUGGAAUCUAAGAAAAAUUGGAAUCAAUAAGACGAAAAGCUAUCGUGCUUAUUCCAGAGUGCAUACCUAUGUAUUAUGCUGCCUAUAUAAGUAUUUAGAAGACCUUGCACCAGAAAAUGUCUCGUCGGCUUUGUGUCUCACCAUUGACUCCAAUUUUCUUCACGCCAAAUCGGUCCUAAUAAUGCCUUUGUCAAUGAUGGAAACCAGCCGAGAGGGCAGAUAGACCAAAAUACACAAGUAUAUCGCAAUCGCCAGCCAAUUGGCGGCACGGACAGGCAACACUUUAUUAUCUACAAUUUCAAUUAAACUAUCAUCAUGAUCCUUUUAGAGCAAAUGGUUUGGCUGGCUGAUAAUAAUAACCGCGGAGAUGAGUCCUUCUUUCUUAUUUCUUUCUCUCUAAUGCCAAAGGUCUCAUGCCUCCGCUCAACACAACCUCAUCAUCAAAUUCACCCACCAUCUGGGAAAUUUUUUUAGCCAGGCAUACCUACACAUAAACUGCAUGACAGCCAGAACGGAAAAAUCGGGCUCGAAAUAACCACAAGCAAAUGCACCCAAUUCUCCAAGACUUGGAGUUCAAGUGAUAAUGAAGGACCACCACCCAUGUAUAUAUUUACUAACCACAGACUGCAUUGGAAAUAUGAACCCAACCAAAAUGCAAUUUUGUAAAACCCCAGUUUUUUCUACUAAAGAAAAAGUUGUAUAACCUUCUGACCUACGGAAUUAACAACAA
Long non-coding RNA from Folsomia candida, 1003 nucleotides. RefSeq lists it as uncharacterized. The transcript is spliced from 5 exons. The record is from RefSeq and is a predicted model, not a curated record. Lineage: Eukaryota; Metazoa; Arthropoda; Collembola; Entomobryomorpha; Isotomidae.